Molecule: ribosomal RNA, 460 nt
Filed under: uncultured bacterium
Lineage: Bacteria
Description: partial 16S ribosomal RNA
Rfam family: Bacterial small subunit ribosomal RNA
Source: RNAcentral
CCUACGGGGGGCUGCAGUGAGGAAUAUUGGUCAAUGGACGAGAGUCUGAACCAGCCAAGUAGCGUGAAGGAUGACUGCCCUAUGGGUUGUAAACUUCUUUUAUAUGGGAAUAAAACGUUCCACGUGUGGGAUUUUGUAUGUACCAUAUGAAUAAGGAUCGGCUAACUCCGUGCCAGCAGCCGCGGUAAUACGGAGGAUCCGAGCGUUAUCCGGAUUUAUUGGGUUUAAAGGGAGCGUAGGUGGAUUGUUAAGUCAGUUGUGAAAGUUUGCGGCUCAACCGUAAAAUUGCAGUUGAAACUGGCAGUCUUGAGUACGGUAGAGGUGGGCGGAAUUCGUGGUGUAGCGGUGAAAUGCUUAGAUAUCACGAAGAACUCCGAUUGCGAAGGCAGUUCACUGGACUGCAACUGACACUGAGGCUCGAAAGUGUGGGUAUCAAACAGGAUUAGAUACCCUUGUAGUC